This 18-nucleotide ribosomal RNA is filed under the name Eucalyptus globulus subsp. bicostata. Its description in RNAcentral is "partial 28S ribosomal RNA". RNAcentral also lists the same sequence under 5 other names. The record is from RNAcentral. Lineage: Eukaryota; Viridiplantae; Streptophyta; Magnoliopsida; Myrtales; Myrtaceae.
AUAUCAAUAAGCGGAGGA